AGUGGCAAACGGGCGAGUAACGCGUACUUAACCUACCUAGAAGUUGAGAAUAACUUUAGAGAUAGAGCUAAUUCUCAAUAGUACCUGACUGCUGAAAUGCUAUCAGGUUAAAGAUUUAUCGCUUCUGGAGGGGGGUGCUAUCUAUCAGGUAUUAGGUGACGUAACUGCUCACCAAGCCUAUGACGGCUAGCCGGUCUGAGAGGAUGUCCGGCCGCAAUGGGACUGAGACACGGUCCAUACUCCUACGGGAGGCAGCAGUGGGGAAUUUUGCGCAAUGGACGAAAGUCUGACGCAGCAAUCUCGCGUGAAGGAUGAAGCAUUAAGGUGUGUAAACUUCUUUGUUGGUGGAAGACGAAUGACGGUACACCAAGAAUAAGGGACGGCUAACUACGUGCCAGCAGCCGCGGUAAUACGUAGGUCCCAAGUGUUAUCCGGAAUUACUGGGCGUAAAGAGUCUGUAGCCUGAUAUAUAAGUCUGUUUUCAAAUACCGCAGCUCAACUGCGGACAGGGAAUAGAUACUGUAUAUCUUGAGAUUGUUAGGGGUUAGUGGAAUUUCCGGUGGAAGCCGGUGAAAUGCGUUGAUAUCGGAAGGAACGCCAAAAGCGAAAGCAGCUAACUAUAACAAAUCUGACGGUCAGAGACGAAAGCUUGGGUAGCAAAUGGGAUUAGAUACCCCGGUAGUCCAAGCUGUAAAUUUUGCUUGCUAGGUGUUUUGACCCGCUCUGCGGGUUGGAGUGCCGUAAUCUAACGAGUUAAGCAAGCCGCCUGGGUAGUAUAUUCGCAAGAAUGAAACUCAAAGGGAUAGGCGGGGGAACAAACAAGCAGUGGAUUGUCUCGAUUAAUUGGAUAUAAAGCCAAAAAUCUUACCUAGACUUGACAUGUACUGUGUCCAAUGCGAAAGUAUUGUAGUCCGGUUUCGGCCGGACACGGUAUACAGGUGGUGCAUGGUCGUCGUCAGCUCGUGCCGCAAGGUGUCCAGUUAAGUCUGGGAACGAGCGCAACCCUCACUCUAUGUUAGAAUGUCAUAGAGGACUGCCCCGGUAACGGGGAGGAAGGAGAGGAUGACGUCAGAUCCUCAUGCCCCUUACGUUUAGGGCUUCAUAGACAAUACAAUGGGUAGUACAGCGGGAAGCGAAAUCGCGAGAUGGAGCAAAUCCUACAAAACUAUCCCUAGUUCGGAUUGUAGUCUGGAAUUCGACUACAUGAAGUCGGAAUUGCUGGUAAUGGCAGGUCAGCAUACUGCCGUGAAUAUGUCCCUGUUCCUUGCACUCACCGCCCGUCAAACCAUGGGAGUU
This 1296-nucleotide ribosomal RNA is filed under the name uncultured organism. Its description in RNAcentral is "bacterial SSU rRNA". It matches the Rfam family "Bacterial small subunit ribosomal RNA", at positions 94 to 1412 of the family's 1533-position model. The record is from RNAcentral.